Molecule: small nucleolar RNA, 151 nt
Filed under: Prolemur simus (greater bamboo lemur)
Lineage: Eukaryota; Metazoa; Chordata; Mammalia; Primates; Lemuridae
Description: Small nucleolar RNA SNORA57 (ENSPSMG00000005785.1)
Rfam family: Small nucleolar RNA SNORA57
About the family: U99 belongs to the H/ACA class of snoRNAs which are thought to guide the sites of modification of uridines to pseudouridines, the target for this family is unknown.
Source: Rfam by way of RNAcentral
CCUCCUUUUCUUGGCAGGGGCCAGGUGUGUGGCCCACUCUCCUUUAUGGAUGGAGGCAGAGGGAAAGGGCUCUGGCCCCUCAAUGCCGUGUCUUCCUUCAGUGCCAGCGGCUUCCCUUCCUCCGGUUCUAUCCUCAAGUACCAGGACACCA